RNAcentral lists this small nuclear RNA (313 nucleotides) under Peromyscus maniculatus bairdii (prairie deer mouse). Its description in RNAcentral is "7SK RNA (ENSPEMG00000025874.1)". It matches the Rfam family "7SK RNA". From Rfam's summary of the family: 7SK was discovered as an abundant small nuclear RNA in the mid-70s but a possible function has only recently been suggested. Two independent studies have found that 7SK RNA binds the CDK9/cyclin T complex (known as elongation factor P-TEFb). The record is from RNAcentral. Lineage: Eukaryota; Metazoa; Chordata; Mammalia; Rodentia; Cricetidae.
GAAUGUAAGGGCAAUCUGGCUGUGACAUCUGUCACCCUAUUGAUGGACAGGGUUGAUUCAGCUAAUCUGGCUGGCUGGGUGUUUGUCCCCUCACUCCCUCACUGCUCCAUGUGGGUGUCCCUCCUGAAUCUGUGCACUCGGUCGAAGAGGACAAUCUUCCCUGAAUAGAGGAGGACAGUUCUUCGGUCAAGUGUACAUUAGUAGCUGUGCUCUCCUGCUAGAACCUCCAAACAAGCUCUCAAGAUUCUAAGUCCUCCUGGCUUCCUGUAUUUAUAAAUAAAAUUUUAUUGUAACACAGCUGUGAUCAUUUGUU